GGGUUGUGAGGUUAAGCGACUAAGCGUACACGGUGGAUGCCCUGGCAGUCAGAGGCGAUGAAGGACGUGCUAAUCUGCGAUAAGCGUCGGUAAGGUGAUAUGAACCAUUAUAACCGGCGAUUUCCGAAUGGGGAAACCCAGUGUGAUUCGUCACACUAUCAUUAACUGAAUCCAUAGGUUAAUGAGGCGAACCGGGGGAACUGAAACAUCUAAGUACCCCGAGGAAAAGAAAUCAACCGAGAUUCCCCCAGUAGCGGCGAGCGAACGGGGAGCAGCCCAGAGCCUGAAUCAGUGUGUGUGUUAGUGGAAGCGUCUGGAAAGGCGUGCGAUACAGGGUGACAGCCCCGUACACAAAAAUGCACAUAUUGUGAGCUCGAUGAGUAGGGCGGGACACGUGGUAUCCUGUCUGAAUAUGGGGGGACCAUCCUCCAAGGCUAAAUACUCCUGACUGACCGAUAGUGAACCAGUACCGUGAGGGAAAGGCGAAAAGAACCCCGGCGAGGGGAGUGAAAAAGAACCUGAAACCGUGUACGUACAAGCAGUGGGAGCACGCUUAGGCGUGUGACUGCGUACCUUUUGUAUAAUGGGUCAGCGACUUAUAUUCUGUAGCAAGGUUAACCGAAUAGGGGAGCCGAAGGGAAACCGAGUCUUAACUGGGCGUUAAGUUGCAGGGUAUAGACCCGAAACCCGGUGAUCUAGCCAUGGGCAGGUUGAAGGUUGGGUAACACUAACUGGAGGACCGAACCGACUAAUGUUGAAAAAUUAGCGGAUGACUUGUGGCUGGGGGUGAAAGGCCAAUCAAACCGGGAGAUAGCUGGUUCUCCCCGAAAGCUAUUUAGGUAGCGCCUCGUGAAUUCAUCUCCGGGGGUAG
This 871-nucleotide ribosomal RNA is filed under the name Shigella boydii. RNAcentral's name for it is "partial 23S ribosomal RNA". It matches the Rfam family "Bacterial large subunit ribosomal RNA", at positions 1 to 905 of the family's 2925-position model. Lineage: Bacteria; Pseudomonadati; Pseudomonadota; Gammaproteobacteria; Enterobacterales; Enterobacteriaceae. The record is from RNAcentral.